This 488-nucleotide ribosomal RNA is filed under the name uncultured bacterium. RNAcentral's name for it is "bacterial SSU rRNA". It matches the Rfam family "Bacterial small subunit ribosomal RNA", at positions 30 to 521 of the family's 1533-position model. The record is from RNAcentral.
AGUGAACGCUGGCGGCAGGCCUAACACAUGCAAGUCGAACGGCAGCACGGCAGUAGCAAUACUGUGGGUGGCGAGUGGCGGACGGGUGAGGAAUACAUCGGGAUCUACCCUGUUGUGGGGGAUAACGUAGGGAAACUUACGCUAAUACCGCAUAAGAACUGAGGUUGAAAGCGGCGGACCGCAAGGCGUCGCGCGAUUGGAUGAACCGAUGUCCGAUUAGCUAGUUGGCGGGGUAAAGGCCCACCAAGGCGACGAUCGGUAGCUGGUCUGAGAGGACGACCAGCCACACUGGAACUGAGACACGGUCCAGACUCCUACGGGAGGCAGCAGUGGGGAAUAUUGCGCAAUGGGGGGAAACCCUGACGCAGCCACGCCGCGUGAGUGAUGAAGGCCUUCGGGUUGUAAAGCUCUGUCGGGAGGGACGAAGGGGAAACCCUGACGGUACCUCGCAAGAAAGCACCGGCUAACUCUGUGCCAGCAGCCGCGGU